GCAUACUAGAGCGUUGUGAGCAGUUCGCGUGUGUGUGUUUGUCACGAUAGUUUGGUAGAAGUUGAGAUAAUGAGAAUGGUGUCAAAGCUCCAAGCUUUGGGGAUCUUGACUUUGUUGUAUUCAGUCAUUUCUGUUCACAGUUCAAAAAACAAAAGCUACAGCCGGCAUCCAUCACAGGAGUCGCAAAAUUCUUCAGCAACAAACCAAUCGCACCCUAAGACCAGCCGAGGAAACGGCGAACAUAACAGACCCCUUACGAUGGAUCAGCAGCUCACUCUGGCGAUGGCACCCAUGCUCAAUCUGACACGCUACCAAAAUAACGCGGGGAAAAAUGGCCACAGCAAGCGUCCCCUGACGAAGCCACGAUUUUCUCCAGAAAUGAGUUCCGUGAUGAACGUCACACAUUUUAAAAGU
This is a non-coding RNA of Zootermopsis nevadensis, 414 nucleotides long. NCBI's taxonomy places the organism in Eukaryota, Metazoa, Arthropoda, Insecta, Blattodea, Termopsidae. The record is from RefSeq and is a predicted model, not a curated record.